This 492-nucleotide ribosomal RNA is filed under the name uncultured bacterium. RNAcentral's name for it is "partial 16S ribosomal RNA". It matches the Rfam family "Bacterial small subunit ribosomal RNA", at positions 29 to 507 of the family's 1533-position model. The record is from RNAcentral.
AGUGAACGCUGGCGGUAGGCCUAACACAUGCAAGUCGAACGGCAGCACAGUAAGAGCUUGCUCUUACGGGUGGCGAGUGGCGGACGGGUGAGGAAUACAUCGGAAUCUACUUUUUCGUGGGGGAUAACGUAGGGAAACUUACGCUAAUACCGCAUACGACCUACGGGUGAAAGCAGGGGAUCUUCGGACCUUGCGCGAUUGAAUGAGCCGAUGUCGGAUUAGCUAGUUGGGGGGGUAAAGGCCCACCAAGGCGACGAUCCGUAGCUGGUCUGAGAGGAUGAUCAGCCACACUGGAACUGAGACACGGUCCAGACUCCUACGGGAGGCAGCAGUGGGGAAUAUUGGACAAUGGGCGCAAGCCUGAUCCAGCCAUACCGCGUGGGUGAAGAAGGCCUUCGGGUUGUAAAGCCCUUUUGUUGGGAAAGAACAGCAGCAGGUUAAUACCCCGCUGUUCUGACGGUACCCAAAGAAUAAGCACCGGCUAACUUCGUG